CAUGUUCUAGAGCUGCAAGUGUCUG
This 25-nucleotide non-coding RNA is filed under the name Mus musculus (house mouse). The record is from RNAcentral. Lineage: Eukaryota; Metazoa; Chordata; Mammalia; Rodentia; Muridae.